This 741-nucleotide ribosomal RNA is filed under the name Xenophacidiella pseudocatenata. RNAcentral's name for it is "eukaryotic LSU rRNA". It matches the Rfam family "Eukaryotic large subunit ribosomal RNA", at positions 95 to 871 of the family's 3401-position model. The record is from RNAcentral. Lineage: Eukaryota; Fungi; Ascomycota; Dothideomycetes; Mycosphaerellales; Teratosphaeriaceae.
GAAGCGGCAACAGCUCAAAUUUGAAAUCUGGCGCAAGCCCGAGUUGUAAUUUGUAGAGGAUGUUUCAGGGCAGCGGCCGGUCUAAGUUCCUUGGAACAGGACGUCAUAGAGGGUGAGAAUCCCGUAUGCGACCGGUUGGCACCCGUCACGAAACUCCUUCGACGAGUCGAGUUGUUUGGGAAUGCAGCUCUAAAUGGGAGGUAAAUUUCUUCUAAAGCUAAAUACCGGCCAGAGACCGAUAGCGCACAAGUAGAGUGAUCGAAAGAUGAAAAGCACUUUGGAAAGAGAGUUAAAAAGCACGUGAAAUUGUUGAAAGGGAAGCGCAUGCAACCAGACUUGUCGGCGGUGUUCCGCCGGUCUUCUGACCGGUCUACUCGCUGCCGGCAGGCCAGCAUCACUUGGGGCCGUUGGAUAAAGGCUCGGGAAUGUAGCUCCUCGGAGUGUUAUAGCCCGGCGCACAAUACGACGUGUCCCGAGUGAGGUCCGCGCUUCGGCUAGGAUGCUGGCGUAAUGGUCGUUUGCGGCCCGUCUUGAAACACGGACCAAGGAGUCUAACAUCUAUGCGAGUGUUCGGGUGUCAAACCCCUACGCGUAAUGAAAGUAAACGGAGGUGGGAGCUUCGGCGCACCAUCGACCGAUCCUGAUGUCUUCGGAUGGAUUUGAGUAUGAGCAUAGCUGUUGGGACCCGAAAGAUGGUGAACUAUGCCUGAAUAGGGUGAAGCCAGAGGAAACUCUGGUGGA